AUUGAACGCUAGCGGGAUGCUUUACACAUGCAAGUCGAACGGCAGCGCGGACUUCGGUCUGGCGGCGAGUGGCGAACGGGUGAGUAAUGUAUCGGAACGUGCCCAGUAGCGGGGGAUAACUACGCGAAAGCGUAGCUAAUACCGCAUACGCCCUACGGGGGAAAGCAGGGGAUCGUAAGACCUUGCACUAUUGGAGCGGCCGAUAUCGGAUUAGCUUGUUGGUGAGGUAACGGCUCACCAAGGCGACGAUCCGUAGCUGGUUUGAGAGGACGACCAGCCACACUGGGACUGAGACACGGCCCAGACUCCUACGGGAGGCAGCAGUGGGGAAUUUUGGACAAUGGGGGCAACCCUGAUCCAGCCAUCCCGCGUGUGCGAUGAAGGCCUUCGGGUUGUAAAGCACUUUUGGCAGGAAAGAAACGUCGCGGGCUAAUACCCCGUGGAACUGACGGUACCUGCAGAAUAAGCACCGGCUAACUACGUG
RNAcentral lists this ribosomal RNA (484 nucleotides) under uncultured bacterium. RNAcentral describes it as "partial 16S ribosomal RNA". It matches the Rfam family "Bacterial small subunit ribosomal RNA", at positions 30 to 507 of the family's 1533-position model. The record is from RNAcentral.